This 374-nucleotide unclassified non-coding RNA is filed under the name uncultured fungus. Its description in RNAcentral is "sequence contains ITS1". The stretch from base 1 to 96 matches the Rfam family "5.8S ribosomal RNA", at positions 49 to 154 of the family's 154-position model. The record is from RNAcentral. Lineage: Eukaryota; Fungi.
UAAAGUGCGAAAUGUAGUGCGAUUUGCAUGAAUCUGUGAGUCAUCUAAUCUUUGAACGCAACUUGCGCCUAAUAAGGCAUGUCUGUUUGAGUACCGCAAACUAACUGCAGCAAUGCAAAGUGGUCAUGGCGUUGGGCCUUGACUUGAAAGCGGCAUGUUUGCUGUUGGGUGUGCUAUCCCGUGUGCUAGAGACGCAAGACGCAAGUCGCGCAAGUCUUCUCACUGGGUGGCGGACCCCUCAGCUCUCUCGGUAUGUAUGUGUGAGGUGAAUGGAUAUGGUGCUUAUGUAUCGUGUCGUAUCAUAUCAUAUUAGCCAUAUCGGGCUAUUCUGUGUAUUCGGUCUCAAAUCAGGCAAGACUACCCGCUGAACUUAA